UUAGUUAAGUUAGAAAGGGCGCACGGUGGAUGCCUUGGCACUAGGAGCCGAUGAAGGACGGGAUUAACACCGAUAUGCUUUGGGGAGCUGUAAGUAAGCUUUGAUCCAGAGAUUUCCGAAUGGGGAAACCCUCUAUCCGUAAUGGGAUAGAAUCUUUACCUGAAUACAUAGGGUACUGAAGGCAGACCCGGGGAACUGAAACAUCUAAGUACCCGGAGGAAGAGAAAGCAAACGCGAUUCCCUGAGUAGCGGCGAGCGAAACGGGAUUAGCCCAAACCAAGAGGCUUGCCUCUUGGGGUUGUAGGACACUCUAUAUGGAGUUACAAAGGAACGGGGUAGACGAAUCGAUCUGGAAAGGUCAGUCGUAGAAGGUAAAAACCCUGUAGUCGAAACUUCGUUCCCUCUUGAGUGUAUCCUGAGUACGGCGGGACACGAGAAAU
RNAcentral lists this ribosomal RNA (440 nucleotides) under Niallia circulans. RNAcentral's name for it is "bacterial LSU rRNA". It matches the Rfam family "Bacterial large subunit ribosomal RNA", at positions 1 to 432 of the family's 2925-position model. The record is from RNAcentral. Lineage: Bacteria; Bacillati; Bacillota; Bacilli; Caryophanales; Bacillaceae.